This 408-nucleotide ribosomal RNA is filed under the name uncultured bacterium. Its description in RNAcentral is "bacterial SSU rRNA". It matches the Rfam family "Bacterial small subunit ribosomal RNA", at positions 29 to 444 of the family's 1533-position model. The record is from RNAcentral.
AAUGAACGUUGGCGGCGUGGAUUAGGCAUGCAAGUCGUACGCACAGCUUCGGCUGUGAGUGGCGCAAGGGUGAGUAAUGCGAAGGUAACCAACCCUGGUGUUGGGCAUAACCGCGGGAAACUGCGGGUAAUUCCCAGCGACGUCGCGAGAUGGCAUCAUCUUGCGACCAAAGGUGUGAUUCCGCUCUAGGACGGGCCUUCGUGGUAUUAGGUAGUUGGUGAGGUAACGGCUCACCAAGCCGACGAUGCCUACCGGGUGUGAGAGCAUGACCCGGCACACUGGAACUGAGACACUGUCCAGACACCUACGGGUGGCUGCAGUCGAGAAUCUUCGGCAAUGGGCGAAAGCCUGACCGAGCGACGCCGCGUGAGGGAAGAAGGCCUCGGUUGUAACUCUUCGUAGAGGAGA